Molecule: transfer RNA, 542 nt
Filed under: uncultured cyanobacterium
Lineage: Bacteria; Bacillati; Cyanobacteriota
Description: partial 16S-23S ribosomal RNA intergenic spacer
Rfam family: tRNA (bases 212-284)
Source: RNAcentral
CAGGGAGACAACAAAAUGUUUAAUAUUAUUAUUUUGUCACCUUAGGUCGAUCGGUAUCUCACGUUCUUAAUUUAUUAAGAAUUUCAUUUCCUAAGUUUUUUCUAGGUCACACCCAUUUUUUUCCUGGGCCAUUAGCUCAGGUGGUUAGAGCGCACCCCUGAUAAGGGUGAGGUCCCUGGUUCAAGUCCAGGAUGGCCCAUAUCUCUAUGUUGGGGGUAUAGCUCAGUUGGUAGAGCGCCUGCUUUGCAAGCAGGAUGUCAGCGGUUCGAGUCCGCUUACCUCCACUGAUUACCACCUCUUACAUAAUCUGUAGAAAGGAAAUGUUUUGAGUUGUGAUCAAAUUCUGAACGAAUCUAGCUUCCUAAUGAAAUCAUUAAGAUGCUGGACUCAGUGAAUUAAUUUCAUUGUUUUCAGAGAACCUUGACAACUGCAUAGAUUAUUUUUGAAAAGACAAUAAGCAUCUUUAAUGAUGCAGAUUUAUUAUUUGUGCAAAUGCAUUAAUAACAAUUCUAUUAAGCUGAUGCUUCAUUUUUGAAGUUAUU